Molecule: long non-coding RNA, 3313 nt
Organism: Diceros bicornis minor
Lineage: Eukaryota; Metazoa; Chordata; Mammalia; Perissodactyla; Rhinocerotidae
Exons: 3
Source: RefSeq, a predicted model, not a curated record
CGGAUCCCGGGCCUGCACCUACGCACCGCUUCUCCGGCCACGCUGAGGCUGCGUCCCACGUACAGCAACUAGAAGGAUGUGCAGCUAUGACAUACAACUAUCUACUGGGGCUUUGGGGGGAAAAAUAAAUAAAUAAAAUCUUAAAAAAAAAAAAUAGGAAUGGUAAGAACACAGGAGACCUUGGGUUUGAACCAGCUCCACUGGCCUGAUCCUAGGCAAGUGCUGGUCUACGAGCCUCAGUUUUCUUAUGGGUCAGAUGGAAUUAAUACCACCACCAACCCUGUGUGCUAUCAUGAGUUACAAUUUCCAGAUAAGCUCAUGAAGUACUUAGCACAUGCUGACACACGGUAAAUCUUCCUUUAGUGGUAGUGGUAUUGUUUCACCUGAUUUCCUCUUCUAGACCCAUGCCUUACUUGAGAUACAGUGAAGGAAAGACCUCAGUCCAAAGGUCUGGCCAAAAUCCUGAGGUUAAGCUGAGGGUCCCUUUGCCUGUGGAGGAGUUAGUUUCUGAUGGAAAGGAGAAGGCAGAGCUGACCAUAUGAUCCCUGGAGUCCUCUGCCUGGGCUAUGUAUCCAGUGCUGGCCGAGGGGGCAUCCUGGCUGGGCAUGGGGCCCUAUAAGGGAAGGCAGGCCCCUUCUGGCACACCCCUGCCCAUGGCUCCUAUUUCUCUGGUCUCCCAGCUGCUCAGCCUGGAAAGCUUGGGGCCACCUCUCUCCUCUUCCCGGUACCAGAGGCCACCAAGUGCUGCUGAUUUCACCUUCUCCACCACCUCAUCCUCCAUCCGUCCCCGCUGCCUGCAGGGCCUCCAGUUCCUCUGGCCUCUCCUACAGUCCCACUUGCCUGCUCAUAUGUCCAGCAUUGUCAUGGAGGGAACAAGGCCCAGCCUGGCCAUCACAGCCCUCAGGGCACCAGUUUACUAGCUCAGCCUCACCCUCACACCAGCACUUUCUACAUCUCUGCCUUUGCUCAGGUUGCUUCCUCUCCCUGGCUCCCUCCACCUCCACCUCCACAUGCCAAAAUGCUUCUGAGAGCAUAGAGCACCUCUGGACUGGGGCCUCCUCCGGGAAGUGUCCCCGAGUCCGCCAAGAGGGAAUCUUGCUCUCCUUUACCCUUUGGUGUUUCUUAAUGUGCUGCUUGUCCUGUCUGCCUUCCCCAGACUGAGCACCUGGAGGACGGCUUCAGUAGCUGAGAUCGAUGGGUGAAGGAGUACAGGAAGGCAGGAAUGAAUGAACACAGGAGCAGCUAGUCUGCCUGUUUCCUGUCAAUGCUUCCAGUGUUGUACCUUUCGGGUUUUCCACUUCCCUGCUCGGAGUCUUUACAUAGCUCCCUGUUUCUCAGCACAUCAAGUCUACUGUAUAUGCCUCUUCCCAGCUGCAGGUAUGCCCUACUCAGCCCAUGGGUCACACUCACAAUCAGGCACCCUUUCUUUCUCCAGGCCGGCCCUGUGCUGGCCACUUCCCCAGGGACAGAGGCAUACGAGCCUGUUGCUAGCCUAUUGAGCCCCAAACUGGAGAGGAUGCAAGAGGGGAGAUGCAGAGCAACAGUACUGAGUUGAGUGUACAGGGAUAAAAAUGUGUACAGGAGCAGAACUUGGACCACAGAGGAAGGAGAGGGAGUAGAGAGAGCUUCAGGGAAGGGAGAGGGUGUGCUGAGUAGAGUUUAGAAGGCUGAAUAUGAGUUCACCAGGUGGAUCAGAGGGAAGGCAAUUCUUGGCAGAGAGAACAUAUGCAAAGAUAGCAGACAGGCAGAGAGUAAUUGCUGACAGGAAGAAAGAAUCCCUAGACCACACUCAGAGGCUGAUGGUGGAGCCCUGGAUUGGACUCCUGAGUCCCAGCUCUGCUGUUUACUUGGCAAACAUCACUGAAAUUUCUUCUCCUCUCUGAGCCUCAGGACUCACAUCUGUAAAAUGGGUAUAAUGAUCCCCUCCUGGGAUGGCCUGACGAAAAACGGACGUGUAUAAAAGUUUAUCCAAAUAAACGGUGCUGAUUCAUGACGUGAGAAAUUCAACCAACUCCCCUUCCUAGGUCAGGGUGGCACUUGAAGACAAAGCAGAAUGACCAGAAAAACAGCCUUACUUUUGCCCCACCCCACCGUACCUGCCCAAACAGACCCCAUGACCUGCUUGAAAUUCCAUUUCUGGGUGUUCUCUCUGUAAAACUUUUAUGACCGCUGGAGGCUACUGUUUAGAGGUAAAUUCAUCAGAAGCUACUGACACUGGAUCAGAGAUAGAUUGUCAGGUGGGCAAGUUUAAUUUUGGGAUGGCUGAGUCCUGGGAAACAGGAUUUAAUUCCAGCCAGGGAGGGAACACCAGAAAAAGCCCACGAAAUGGCAUCUGAGCCUGGCAAGCGUCCCUGACAGCCAACGAGAAGAGGCUGUGCUGAGUCAGCGGCCUCUGAUGCAAGGGGGGCUCUCUGGGCCUGGGACGGGAGAGCCCCUAAUCCGCAGGAUGUUUUGCAACUCAAAUCCUCCCAGGCUGCAGACAGGCACGUUCUGCUCCACAUGGCAGACUGUGACCACUGUAUAAUGCCAGAAUUUACAGGGGACCAUUGCAACAACCCUCAAGGCUGACUUGACUGUCUCCUGAUCCCAACCCUAAGUUUCUACAUGAGACAAGUGGAUCGGCCCAGUUUGGCUCAGGCAGUGGGGACCUAGAGUGCCCACAGGAGACAGGGUGGGCGGGCUCACCUCUGUGCGGGAGUGAGGCGGAGCACGGGUGUGUGCCUCCUGACUGAGUGACACAGGCAAACGUGUGCAGCCAUUGAAAACGUUGUUGAAUGGAGAUAGACAUUCAAUGAUAUGGGAAGAAAGUUAAGAUUUUUUGAAUGGAAAAAACAGGUUACAAAACAGUAUGUUUAUCACAUUUUUGAAAGGAAAUAUGCAUAUGUAAUUUAAUUGAAUUUCUAUACCUAUAUGCUAAAUGUUAAUUGAAAUUAUGGGUAGUAGAAUUAAGGGUAAUUUUUAUUUUCUUCUUUUGUAAUAUCUGCAUUUUUCUCUUGUGAAUGACUAUCAGUUGAAUAAUAAAACAAUAACUCUUACCUCACAGAGCUGCAGUGUGUGUUAACUAGACAUUUAUUCACUUAUUCAAUAAAUAUUUAUUAAGCACCUACUACGUGACGGUGUUUGUGACAGCUGCAUGAUGACUGACGAGUGGUGGAGUUUCAAUAAUUGGGGUGACCCAAGGCUCUGCCUUCCAGGAGCGCACAGCGAGGCUGGAUGCUCAGACACGGGGGCUUCUGCUCCGAUGGUCUACAUGCAUUCUGAAAAUCUGGGAAAUGAAAGCAACAGGGCGUUUCAGCUAUCUAUCUGCUGUAGA